RNAcentral lists this ribosomal RNA (480 nucleotides) under uncultured bacterium. RNAcentral describes it as "partial 16S ribosomal RNA". It matches the Rfam family "Bacterial small subunit ribosomal RNA", at positions 30 to 507 of the family's 1533-position model. The record is from RNAcentral.
AUUGAACGCUGGCGGCAGGCUUAACACAUGCAAGUCGAACGAUGACUCUCCAGCUUGCUAGUGAUGAUUAGUGGCGGACGGGUGAGUAACAUUUAGGAAUCUACCUAGUAGUGGGGGAUAGCUCGGGGAAACUCGAAUUAAUACCGCAUACGACCUACGGGGGAAAGGGGGCGCAAGCUCUGGCUAUUAGAUGAGCCUAAAUCAGAUUAGCUAGUUGGUGGGGUAAAGGCCCACCAAGGCGACGAUCUGUAACUGGUCUGAGAGGAUGAUCAGUCACACCGGAACUGAGACACGGUCCGGACUCCUACGGGAGGCAGCAGUGGGGAAUAUUGGACAAUGGGGGCAACCCUGAUCCAGCCAUGCCGCGUGUGUGAAGAAGGCCUUGUGGUUGUAAAGCACUUUAAGCAGGGAGGAGAGGCUAAUGGUUAAUACCCAGUAGAUUAGACGUUACCUGCAGAAUAAGCACCGGCUAACUCUGUG